GAAGGAGUGCUUAGGAGACUGACAGGA
RNAcentral lists this non-coding RNA (27 nucleotides) under Cricetulus griseus (Chinese hamster). Lineage: Eukaryota; Metazoa; Chordata; Mammalia; Rodentia; Cricetidae. The record is from RNAcentral.